RNAcentral lists this ribosomal RNA (301 nucleotides) under uncultured bacterium. Its description in RNAcentral is "partial 16S ribosomal RNA". It matches the Rfam family "Bacterial small subunit ribosomal RNA", at positions 509 to 807 of the family's 1533-position model. The record is from RNAcentral.
CAGUCGCCGCGGGAAUACGAAGGGUGCAAGCGUUACUCGGAAUUACUGGGCGUAAAGCGUGCGUAGGUGGUGGUUUAAGUCCGUUGUGAAAGCCCUGGGCUCAACCUGGGAAUUGCAGUGGAUACUGGGUCACUAGAGUGUGGUAGAGGAUAGUGGAAUUUCCGGUGUAGCAGUGAAAUGCGUAGAGAUCGGAAGGAACAUCUGUGGCGAAGGCGACUAUCUGGGCCAACACUGACACUGAGGCACGAAAGCGUGGGGGGCAAACAGGAUUAGAUACCCCUGUAGUCCCUGUCUCUUAUAC